This is a long non-coding RNA of Chinchilla lanigera (long-tailed chinchilla), 2419 nucleotides long. RefSeq lists it as uncharacterized. The record is from RefSeq and is a predicted model, not a curated record. The transcript has 2 exons. NCBI's taxonomy places the organism in Eukaryota, Metazoa, Chordata, Mammalia, Rodentia, Chinchillidae.
CAGUUAACACCCGUGUAAAUAGAGUGCACUAGGUCUGAUCUGGGUUUUCCCUUGUGGACUUGGCUCUCCAACACAACACAAAACAAGAAGGUAAAUUUGUCCACGUUGGAAAUCUGUACUCCGUCUGAGGUAGGUGGCCGGGGGCACCAGCAGAGGCCAGCUGUGCUGUGGAGCACUGGUGUUCUCAUAAGGGAGGUGUGAAUCUGGGCUGGAGCCUUUGUUCUCCCCCAUCUCCUACCCACUGCCCUGCUCCAGUGUUGGAGCUGACUUUAUUUCAAUGUCCUUUUCCACAUGUAUCCUGUCUGAUGCUUGGCACUGUGUCAACAGGCAAAUCGCAUCUGUUGUGUCAGAGCAACACCGGGACCCUGCGAGUCACCUUGCAUCAUUAUUAACUGCCACGUCCCGUUAGACAGAGCUGGUGUCAGAAGAGGAUACAUGUGGGUUUCACAGCCAGUUCUCUCUAAUGCAUGGUUGGGUUUAAAGACACAGACAGCUGAAUGGGCUGUCUUGGUUUGGGGUUUCCUUUUAUGGUCUCCCACAGCAGCCAUUCAGGGUCCCUCCACUGGGUAACCCUCCAACUCAUCUGAAAUCCUCCUAUGCUUUACUUUUGACUCUGUAAAAUCUGCGGAAAUAGGCCCACUCUGAAUCAGCCUCUGAGAACAGGGCUCAUCCUGGUGGGUAAAGCUAGCAAAAGCUGAGUUUGUUGUAAUGGAGGAAAUAGCACCAGGAAAAAGGCCGGAGCACAAAGCAACCAACACUCAUUAGGCCCGCACUGUCCCAUGGGAGACAUACAUAAGUGGCUGGGAAGCAGCUGAAUCUGUCAGUUUGUUGGGGGUGGCUCUGAAAAGAUCUUUGGGAUACUUUCCAUGCUUCGUAAAACACAAGGCUUCAUAGGCAGGAAAUUGCCAAGAGGUCUGCUUGAUCCUCAUUCCUAAUUAUACACUGGAAGGGAGCUUUUCAACAUCAAAAAAUUCCCCCAGUGAAUGAGCAGAAGCUAUUGUAGGUCUUUCAAACAGAGCCAGAGAACAAUGGCUAACACUGAUUGAGCACUUUAACGUGCUCAGACACUGCGCUGGUGCUAACAGAAAUCCCACACCUGUUCUCAACCCAAAAUGCUAUUUCCAUCCUGGCUUUUCCAACAAGGAAACUAAGGCACGGAAAGGUUGACGGGCAGCAAAGAAGCUAGGGAAGCCAUCUUCUCAUCUGAAGUAAACACAUUUGACACUGAAACUGGUUUCAUUGAGUAUUUUCCCAGAGAUGUCCAAGGCCAGUCUUAGAGAUACUACUACGUGCUGUACUUUUUUAUUCUUCCAAUGCCUAUUGAACACUUACUGUCGGCUAAUCACUGGGCAAGGCUAUAGGAAUUUAAUUAUUAGUAAGUAAUUUCUAUUGAGUUAAAUUCUCUAUGUGCUUAAUCUCAUUGAUUGUCACAACUAUGUUAGGUAGGUACUAUCAUGAUCAUGUAAAGGAUGAUGUUUAAAAGAGGUGAAGCAUUUGUCAACUAUGUAUUACUUCUCACACUGCUGUAAUGGAGGAAGCCAGGAUUUGAGCUCAGUUUGAUCUGACCCUUUUAGGGUCAGACCAAUGCAUGAAAGACAAAGUAAAAUUACAGCAAUUGGAGGUGAUCAAUAUGUACACAACUGAUAUGGAAAAAGGAGCAGACACAGAGAAGAAAAGUUGGAAUUAUUAUUAUUUAAACAUUUCUUUCUGAAUGCCCUUACAAACAAGCUAGCGAAUCUUCUUUCCAAUAUCCCCAUUUGCUAUUCUUGCGGUCCUUACAGACCCACUGCUCUAGAAUGCAGCAUACAAACCACAGUUCAUCAGUCCAAGUGGGGCCCAGCUUGUGGUUUUCUCUUUUGCUGUCUUCCAGUGCUAAAUCAUGUAGUUAAUGAACUGAUUUGAAUGUGCUCACUUAAGCAGGUGACCCAUGGUAGAGUUAAUACACACUCCAUGGGAAUCCUGAGACCAGAGGAUUGAAUUAAGCAAUCUGCAUGUUCUGAUGAGACGGAGUUUACAGCAACAGUGAGAUGCCUGGUCCAUGACAAACAUUCGACAGAAGACAUUUCCAAAUAAUUCAUAUCGGGACCAGUUAUUCCGAAGCAAGUAAAGAAGGUUUUGACAUUUGGAUACAAAGCCAUGGGUGCACUUUGAAGUUGACCUGCCACCUUGUGGAAGUUGGAGGGAAUAAAACAUGGCUGUUGACUACUUGCUUCACUGCCCUCACACUCACGCUCAGCCAGGUUCGAAGGCCAGCUGACCUGCACCCUAAGCCUCAGCCUCCCUACCGGACAACCUUGGGCUGCCCAACCGUUUGGAGCCUACUUUCUUAUUUGUAAAAUGAUGCGCGUAACCGAGCUCUGCUGUGGAAAAUGGUACUUAAGACAAAUAAAUGAUGUAAUUCUGGGAAUGAGAUCUUAAA